This 253-nucleotide ribosomal RNA is filed under the name uncultured bacterium. RNAcentral's name for it is "partial 16S ribosomal RNA". It matches the Rfam family "Bacterial small subunit ribosomal RNA", at positions 524 to 776 of the family's 1533-position model. The record is from RNAcentral.
UACGUAGGCAGCAAGCGUUGUUCGGAAUUACUGGGCGUAAAGAGUGUGUAGGCGGUGCUCUAAGUUCGGUGUGAAAUCUCCCGGCUUAACUGGGAGGGUGCGCCGGAAACUGGAGUGCUUGAGCGCGGGAGAGGAAAGCGGAAUUCCUGGUGUAGCGGUGAAAUGCGCAGAUAUCAGGAGGAACACCGAUGGCGAAGGCAGGUCUCUGGGCCACUACUGACGCUGAGAAGCGAAAGCAUGGGGAGCGAACAGG